This 795-nucleotide long non-coding RNA is filed under the name Falco tinnunculus (common kestrel). RNAcentral's name for it is "lncRNA (ENSFTIG00000011555.1)". The record is from RNAcentral. Lineage: Eukaryota; Metazoa; Chordata; Aves; Falconiformes; Falconidae.
CUGCUCUGAGGUGACCGGUUCCCUCGCUCGGUGGGCUUGAGGUGGAGCGUUGGUGGCAUUUCCUCAGCUGCAGGUGGAAAGGUGCUGAGGGAAUGGCCCUGGAUUUCGGUGGCAGCUGGGCUGGGGGCUGUGGAGGGUCUGGGCAGACCGAGGUGCCACAGGGGCACUGAGCCCCUCGGGUGUGGGUGUCUGGGGUGGGCCUGGGCGCCUGUGGGUGCUCGGUGUGGGUGACUGGGGUGGGCCUGGGCGCCUGUGGGUGCUCGGUGUGGGUGUCUGGGGUGGGCCUGGGCACCUGUGGGUGAUGGCUCCUGUGGGGUGCUCAGUUCCACAUCAGCUGAGGUACCAAAGAGGUGCUGCUGGGGUGUGCAGGUCUGUGGCAGUCAUGGCCGCACACGGUCACAUAUGUUUAUAUGUCAUCAUAAUCAACACUAUAUUUUCCUGAGUUUUAGUAACCUAGCAUUUCUACAGAAGUAAAGUGUUUUUCAUGUUUUACUUCCCCAGUCCCUCUCAGAAGACUUGUGAAGCAGGCUGCACAGUCCCUGUGUGGGAAGGAAAUGAAUGGCAGAAGAGCAUGUCUCUGCAGAAGACCUGACUGGUUGGUGUAAUGUAAGGACGAAACAAAGAGGAGUCCCAGCCCUCGUUGAUUUCUUCUUAGAAGUAUGCCCAGGAGGGAAAACCAGCCAUCCCCAUGAUGCAGCUUUUUUUCUGACUGGGCAUAUUGCCUCCUUGCCUCUGGCUCGAUACCUAGAUGAAAGCCACCCGUUCAAGUUUCAACUCUAUUGCGUGCUCUGUGGC